AGAUUGAACGCUGGCGGCAGGCCUAACACAUGCAAGUCGAGCGGCAGCACGGGUACUUGUACCUGGUGGCGAGCGGCGGACGGGUGAGUAAUGCCUAGGAAUCUGCCUGGUAGUGGGGGAUAACGCUCGGAAACGGACGCUAAUACCGCAUACGUCCUACGGGAGAAAGCAGGGGACCUUCGGGCCUUGCGCUAUCAGAUGAGCCUAGGUCGGAUUAGCUAGUUGGUGAGGUAAUGGCUCACCAAGGCGACGAUCCGUAACUGGUCUGAGAGGAUGAUCAGUCACACUGGAACUGAGACACGGUCCAGACUCCUACGGGAGGCAGCAGUGGGGAAUAUUGGACAAAUGGGACGAAAGCCUGAUCCAAGCCAUGCCGCGUGUGUGAAAGAAGGUCUUCGGAUUUGUAAAAGCUAACGUUUAAAGUUGGAAGGAAGGGCAAGUUACCUAAAUACGUAUCUGUUUUGACGUUACCGACAGAAAUAAGCAACCGGACUAACUCUGUG
Molecule: ribosomal RNA, 503 nt
Filed under: uncultured soil bacterium
Lineage: Bacteria
Description: bacterial SSU rRNA
Rfam family: Bacterial small subunit ribosomal RNA
Source: RNAcentral